CGAGUCAAUCGGGCAGUCGCGGCGCAAGUCGAGGAAAGUCCGGACUCCACAGGGCGCGAUGGUGGGUAACGCCCACCCGGGGUGACCCGCGGGCAAGUGCAACAGAGAGCAGACCGCCGAUUCGUCGGUAAGGGUGAAAGGGUGGUGUAAGAGACCACCGGCGGUCAUGGUGACAUGGCCGGCCAGGUAAACCCCAUCGGGAGCAAGGCCAAGAGGGAACAAGGUUCCUGCGCGAACACAGGCGGCCCGUCCGGUUCGCGGGUAGGCCGCAUCAGGCUCACAGCAAUGUGGGUCGCAGAUGGAUGACUGCCACACCGCAAGGUGAUACAGAAUCCGGCUUACAGAUCGGCUCGUCCA
RNAcentral lists this RNase P RNA (357 nucleotides) under Actinomycetota bacterium. Its description in RNAcentral is "Actinobacteria bacterium RNase P RNA component class A". It matches the Rfam family "Bacterial RNase P class A". From Rfam's summary of the family: Ribonuclease P (RNase P) is a ubiquitous endoribonuclease, found in archaea, bacteria and eukarya as well as chloroplasts and mitochondria. Its best characterised activity is the generation of mature 5'-ends of tRNAs by cleaving the 5'-leader elements of precursor-tRNAs. Cellular RNase Ps are ribonucleoproteins. Lineage: Bacteria; Bacillati; Actinomycetota. The record is from RNAcentral.